This 464-nucleotide ribosomal RNA is filed under the name uncultured bacterium. RNAcentral's name for it is "bacterial SSU rRNA". It matches the Rfam family "Bacterial small subunit ribosomal RNA", at positions 28 to 489 of the family's 1533-position model. The record is from RNAcentral.
GACGAACGCUGGCGGCGUGCCUAACACAUGCAAGUCAACUUGACUGAAGGAGCAAUCUGACAGUAGGGUGGCGCAAGGGUGCGUAACGCGUAAGUAACUUGCCCCAAGGUAAGGAAUAACGUCGAGAAAUCGGCGCUAAUACCUCAUAAUGCAGCGGAUCCGCAUGGAUAUGUUGUUAAAGGUUUACCGCUUUGGGAUAGGCUUGCGUCUGAUUAGCUAGUUGGUGUGGUAACGGCACACCAAGGCUACGAUCAGUAACUGGUCUGAGAGGAUGAUCAGUCACACUGGAACUGAGACACGGUCCAGACUCCUACGGGAGGCAGCAGUGAGGAAUAUUGGGCAAUGCUCGAAAGAGUGACCCAGCAACGCCGCGUGGAGGAUGAAGGUAUUCUAUAUCGUAAACUCCUGUGAGAGCAGACGAAAGACAGAUUUAAUUAAUCUGGAUGACUGUAUGCUCAGAGGAA